AGUAAAUAGAUACCCUGGUAGUCCACGCCGUAAACGAUGAGUACUAGGUGUAGGAGGUAUCGACUCCUUCUGUGCCGCAGUUAAACACAAUAAGUACUCCGCCUGGAAAGUACGGUCGCAAGAUUAAAACUCAAAGGAAUUGACGGGGGCCCGCACAAGCAGCGGAGCAUGUGGUUUAAUUCGAAGCAACGCGAAGAACCUUACCUAGACUUGACAUCCCCUGAAUAACGUAGAGAUACGCGAAGCCCUUCGGGGCAGGGAGACAGGUGGUGCAUGGUUGUCGUCAGCUCGUGUCGUGAGAUGUUGGGUUAAGUCCCGCAACGAGCGCAACCCUUAUCAUUAGUUGCUACCAUUUAGUUGAGCACUCUAGUGAGACUGCCCGGGUUAACCGGGAGGAAGGCGGGGAUGACGUCAAAUCAUCAUGCCCCUUAUGUCUAGGGCUACACACGUGCUACAAUGGUGAGAACAACGAGAUGCAAUACCGCGAGGUGGAGCAAAAACUUCAAAACUCAUCUCAGUUCGGAUUGUAGGCUGAAACUC
Molecule: ribosomal RNA, 540 nt
Filed under: uncultured bacterium
Lineage: Bacteria
Description: bacterial SSU rRNA
Rfam family: Bacterial small subunit ribosomal RNA
Source: RNAcentral